This 468-nucleotide ribosomal RNA is filed under the name Ligia cinerascens. RNAcentral describes it as "partial 16S ribosomal RNA". It matches the Rfam family "Bacterial large subunit ribosomal RNA", at positions 1806 to 2571 of the family's 2925-position model. Lineage: Eukaryota; Metazoa; Arthropoda; Malacostraca; Isopoda; Ligiidae. The record is from RNAcentral.
AACAAAAACACCGCCUACUUCUUUCUUAGUAGGUAGAUUCUGCCCAAUGAAGCUUAAAUGGCCGCAGUAUCCUGACUGUGCUAAGGUAGCAUAAUAACUUGUCUCUUAAUUGGAGGCUAGAAUGAAUGAACUGACGAAGAAAAUACUGUCUCAGGGGGAGAAAGAAAAUUUAUACCCAGGUAAAAAAUCCUGGGAGUUGUAGAGGGACGAUAAGACCCUAAAAGCUUUACCCUUUAAGCCUAAACCGCUAUAGCUUAGUUAGGCCUGAUGGGUUUUCACUGGGGCGGUGACUCUACCUAACUAGAGCAAUUAAAACACUCUGGGUGAACCUAAUAACCUUGAUUGAAAUCCAAAACUAAGUUACUUUAGGGAUAACAGCGCAAUUCUCUGUAAGAGCCCUUAUCGACCAGAGAGAUUACGACCUCGAUGUUGAAUUGAAGACUUAACCAGAGCAGCAUUUGGUGAAAG